Molecule: long non-coding RNA, 721 nt
Filed under: Vulpes vulpes (red fox)
Lineage: Eukaryota; Metazoa; Chordata; Mammalia; Carnivora; Canidae
Description: lncRNA (ENSVVUG00000015367.1)
Source: RNAcentral
CAUUUUUUAAACUUGUGUUUGAUGGGGUUAGAGGGAGGAACAUAGAAUUAAAAUAUCUUUACUCUGUUAUCUUUAGGUGAAAAACCAGUAUGCUGGCAUGGAGAUAUGACCUUCAUAUAGAGUCAAACAUAAGAAAGUAGAUGUCUGUACAUUAGGUAUGCUCAAUGGGUUCCUGGCCAAGCCCCAGGACCAGGAGCUGGGAGAGGGGCUCAGCUCAGUCAAGAUGAAGUGAAAUGCCAGACAUGCUGAAACUUCUGUCUGAGAUCUCCAGGGAAGUUUAAAAAACUUCAGAGCUCUGUACUUCAUGAACAAAAUUCUAAAUUAACCAUUCCAGGGUUGCUUCUGACCAACUCUUUAGUCCUUUUCUUUUGUGGCAUGGUUGAAAAAUCCAGUUCCAGCCCAUGUGGAUUUAUUCAGGAAGAUUCCUGGAAGGGAUCAAGCAUCCAAUUGAUUCAUUUGCUUACAUGCUCACCAAUGGAAGGUGAGAGAGGGCACUUCCUUUAACUGUUUCAAGAGACUAUAUCUAGUGGGGGAAGAAAGAGCCUCUGAAGGGAUGGAUGCUGAGCAGCCCAAAACAGCAAGCACACGGGCCAGAGUGGCAGGUCACACCUCCUGGCCUUCUUCUGGUAACCUUGCUAUUCCCAGGAGAGCAAGACAAGAACUUUUGGAUGGAAACAAAGUUCACAUUAUUAACACUGUCAGAAAAUGCUGGUAGGUUCUU